Molecule: non-coding RNA, 21 nt
Filed under: Rattus norvegicus (Norway rat)
Lineage: Eukaryota; Metazoa; Chordata; Mammalia; Rodentia; Muridae
Source: RNAcentral
ACUCACGGUGUUUGCAAAGCU